Molecule: ribosomal RNA, 301 nt
Filed under: uncultured bacterium
Lineage: Bacteria
Description: partial 16S ribosomal RNA
Rfam family: Bacterial small subunit ribosomal RNA
Source: RNAcentral
CAGUAGCCGCGGUAAUACGAAGGGGGCUAGCGUUGUUCGGAUUUACUGGGCGUAAAGCGCACGUAGGCGGAUUGGUCAGUUAGGGGUGAAAUCCUGGAGCUCAACUCCAGAACUGCCUUUAAUACUGCCAGUCUCGAGUCCGGAAGAGGUAAGUGGAACUCCUAGUGUAGAGGUGGAAUUCGUAGAUAUUAGGAAGAACACCAGUGGCGAAGGCGGCUUACUGGUCCGGUACUGACGCUGAGGUGCGAAAGCGUGGGGAGCAAACAGGAUUAGAUACCCGUGUAGUCCCUGUCUCUUAUAC